This 631-nucleotide ribosomal RNA is filed under the name uncultured Pelagibacterales bacterium. RNAcentral's name for it is "bacterial SSU rRNA". It matches the Rfam family "Bacterial small subunit ribosomal RNA", at positions 60 to 737 of the family's 1533-position model. The record is from RNAcentral. Lineage: Bacteria; Pseudomonadati; Pseudomonadota; Alphaproteobacteria; Candidatus Pelagibacterales.
AGUCGAACGCAGUAGCAAUACUGAGUGGCAGACGGGUGAGUAACAUGUGGGAAUCUGCCUUGUGGUUCAGGACAACAUUGGGAAACCGAUGCUAAUACUGGAUAAGCCCUUACGGGGAAAGUUUUAAUGCCAUAAGAUGAGCCCGCAUUUGAUUAGUUAGUUGGUGAGGUAAUGGCUCACCAAGACAAUGAUCAAUAGCUGAUCUGAGAGGAUGAUCAGCCACACUGGGACUGAGACACGGCCCAGACUCCUACGGGAGGCAGCAGUGGGGAAUCUUGCACAAUGGAGGAAACUCUGAUGCAGCGAUGCCGCGUGAGUGAAGAAGGCCUUUGGGUUGUAAAGCUCUUUUGUAGGGGAAGAUAAUGACUGUACCCUAAGAAUAAGGUCCGGCUAACUUCGUGCCAGCAGCCGCGGUAAUACGAAGGGACCUAGCGUAGUUCGGAAUUACUGGGCGUAAAGCGCGCGUAGGCCGUUGAGUUAGUUAAUUGUGAAAUCCCAAAGCUUAACUUUGGAACUGCAAUUAAAACUGCUCGACUAGAGUUUGAUAGAGGAAAGCGGAAUACAUAGUGUAGAGGUGAAAUUCGUAGAUAUUAUGUAGAACACCAGUUGCGAAGGCGGCUUUCUGGAUCAA